GUGGAAAUUACUUUUUAAAGCUAAUUAGCUGGGCGUUAAGUCUCAUCAGAUACUUAACCUAUCAGGUUGGGCUCUGCCUAUUUCUGAUGCUGCCAGGAUGCAUCAGGAGCUUUCCCAGCAUGGAGAUGUGCUUCCUGCUCUGUGGGCUGUGUGAUGUGAAGAAAAUAGAUUGCUGAAUGUAAAGCUUCAGGGAAUAACAUUUAAAGGAGAGAAAUUGCCUUGUGUGUUUUUACUGCAUAGGCACCUCGUUGGCCAACACAGCGUUCCACCCUUUGCAUGCCAUGGGAAGGUGUUGUUAGCACUGAUGCUUUCUGAAACAGAGUGUGCAGCAAUUGUCCAGGUCACUCUUCACCCAACACCUCCCAGCCACUGUAUGCUGCAAGGUGGGAGAAGCAGGAGCCGGGACCCAGCCACCACCCUGGUACAGCUGGGCUGGGGGUGAAGGCUGUGUGGCUUUGUCAGCCUCAGAGCUUUUGUGCAGCUUGCUGUCAGUGAUUAUUUCAGACUGAGUGAGCAACAGACCUUGCAACAGACCAAAGCAAAAGAUUUUGGGCACCCCAUCUCUGACAUUCCUUUUGCCACGAAUGCUGGUGUUGCCUGCUUGUCAAGCUCAAGGUCAUCAGAUAAUCAAGCCCCUUUGGCUCUGCAAGGCUCCAUUUGACAAAUUAACCCUAACAAACAAGUAGAGCUAGCAGAAGAGUUUCUGUACAUCUACCGAACCUGCCAUAUUCCUUCCACUAGAGGACGGUAGCUCUUGUACGCAGCUUUCAGCAGCAUUUUACAGCAGAAGCUGGGAUAAAGCAGCCCAACCCUUCCUGCAGAAACACGCUCCUUUCUAGUGGUUUCCACAUCAUGAAUCCCAGUGAAUAUUUAACUAAGUCUCCCCUGUAAUCAAGUUUCUUUCCUCUUCACUUUCAUCCACGAUGUAAAGCAUUUCCUGAUUGAUUGCAUUUAGUAGCCCAGAAAGUCUCCCUCUGUGUCUAUUUCUCUGCUCAGCUGG
This 1000-nucleotide long non-coding RNA is filed under the name Coturnix japonica (Japanese quail). Its description in RNAcentral is "lncRNA (ENSCJPG00005020155.1)". The record is from RNAcentral. Lineage: Eukaryota; Metazoa; Chordata; Aves; Galliformes; Phasianidae.